CGCGUAGGCGGCCAUUCAAGUCAGCCGUGAAAGGCCUGGGCUCAACCUGGGAAUUGCGGUUGGGACUGAGUGGCUAGAGAGCGGGAGAGGAUGGUGGAAUUCCCAGUGUAGAGGUGAAAUUCGUAGAUAUUGGGAAGAACACCGGUGGCGAAGGCGGCCAUCUGGACCGUAUCUGACGCUGAGGCGCGAAAGCGUGGGGAGCAAACAGGAUUAGAUACCCUGGUAGUCCACGCUGUAAACGAUGAGUGCUGGACGUUGGUGGGCUUGCCUGCCGGUGUCGCAGCUAACGCGUUAAGCACUCCGCCUGGGGAGUACGGCCGCAGGUUGAA
Molecule: ribosomal RNA, 329 nt
Filed under: uncultured bacterium
Lineage: Bacteria
Description: bacterial SSU rRNA
Rfam family: Bacterial small subunit ribosomal RNA
Source: RNAcentral